This 304-nucleotide small nuclear RNA is filed under the name Heterocephalus glaber (naked mole-rat). RNAcentral describes it as "7SK RNA". It matches the Rfam family "7SK RNA". From Rfam's summary of the family: 7SK was discovered as an abundant small nuclear RNA in the mid-70s but a possible function has only recently been suggested. Two independent studies have found that 7SK RNA binds the CDK9/cyclin T complex (known as elongation factor P-TEFb). P-TEFb activates transcription by phosphorylating the C-terminal domain of RNA polymerase II. The record is from Rfam by way of RNAcentral. Lineage: Eukaryota; Metazoa; Chordata; Mammalia; Rodentia; Bathyergidae.
AGAUGUGAGGGAGAUCUGACUGUGACAUCUGUCACCCCAUUGAUCAUCGGGGUUGACUUGGCUGAUCUGGCUGGCUAGGCAGGUGUCUCCUUCUUCCCUCACCAUUCCAUGUGUCCAUCCUGAAGCUGCACUUAGUUGAAAAGGACAACCAUCCUGAUAGAGGAGGAUCAUUUCCUUAGUCAAGAGUAUAGGAGUGGCUACACUUCCUUGCUUGAAGCUCCAAACAAACUCUCAAGAAAAAUCAUGAUCCAUAGGCAUUCUUGCUCUUAAGGUACAGCUCUUGAGGACUAAGGAUUCCAAGAAG